RNAcentral lists this ribosomal RNA (119 nucleotides) under Pteropus alecto (black flying fox). Lineage: Eukaryota; Metazoa; Chordata; Mammalia; Chiroptera; Pteropodidae. The record is from RNAcentral.
GUCUACAGCCAUGCCACCCUAAACAAGCCUGAUCCCUUCUGAUCUUGGAAACGAAGCAGGGUCGGGCCCAGUUAGUUCUUGGAUGGGAGACCACCUAGGAAGACCAGGUGCUAUAGGCG